Molecule: ribosomal RNA, 465 nt
Filed under: Vreelandella stevensii
Lineage: Bacteria; Pseudomonadati; Pseudomonadota; Gammaproteobacteria; Oceanospirillales; Halomonadaceae
Description: partial 16S ribosomal RNA
Rfam family: Bacterial small subunit ribosomal RNA
Source: RNAcentral
CCUACGGGUGGCAGCAGUGGGGAAUAUUGGACAAUGGGCGAAAGCCUGAUCCAGCCAUGCCGCGUGUGUGAAGAAGGCCUUCGGGUUGUAAAGCACUUUCAGUGGGGAAGAAAGCCUUGGGGCUAAUACCCUCGAGGAAGGACAUCACCCACAGAAGAAGCACCGGCUAACUCCGUGCCAGCAGCCGCGGUAAUACGGAGGGUGCGAGCGUUAAUCGGAAUUACUGGGCGUAAAGCGCGCGUAGGCGGUCUGAUAAGCCGGUUGUGAAAGCCCCGGGCUCAACCUGGGAACGGCAUUCGGAACUGUCAGGCUAGAGUGCAGGAGAGGAAGGUAGAAUUCCCGGUGUAGCGGUGAAAUGCGUAGAGAUCGGGAGGAAUACCAGUGGCGAAGGCGGCCUUCUGGACUGACACUGACGCUGAGGUGCGAAAGCGUGGGUAGCAAACAGGAUUAGAUACCCUUGUAGUC